This 493-nucleotide ribosomal RNA is filed under the name Escherichia coli. Its description in RNAcentral is "bacterial SSU rRNA". It matches the Rfam family "Bacterial small subunit ribosomal RNA", at positions 199 to 687 of the family's 1533-position model. The record is from RNAcentral. Lineage: Bacteria; Pseudomonadati; Pseudomonadota; Gammaproteobacteria; Enterobacterales; Enterobacteriaceae.
ACCUUCGGGCCUCUUGCCAUCGGAUGUGCCCAGAUGGGAUUAGCUAGUAGGUGGGGUAACGGCUCACCUAGGCGACGAUCCCUAGCUGGUCUGAGAGGAUGACCAGCCACACUGGAACUGAGACACGGUCCAGACUCCUACGGGAGGCAGCAGUGGGGAAUAUUGCACAAUGGGCGCAAGCCUGAUGCAGCCAUGCCGCGUGUAUGAAGAAGGCCUUCGGGUUGUAAAGUACUUUCAGCGGGGAGGAAGGGAGUAAAGUUAAUACCUUUGCUCAUUGACGUUACCCGCAGAAGAAGCACCGGCUAACUCCGUGCCAGCAGCCGCGGUAAUACGGAGGGUGCAAGCGUUAAUCGGAAUUACUGGGCGUAAAGCGCACGCAGGCGGUUUGUUAAGUCAGAUGUGAAAUCCCCGGGCUCAACCUGGGAACUGCAUCUGAUACUGGCAAGCUUGAGUCUCGUAGAGGGGGGUAGAAUUCCAGGUGUAGCGGUGAAAU